GGUUAAGCGACUAAGCGUACACGGUGGAUGCCCUGGCAGUCAGAGGCGAUGAAGGGCGUGCUAAUCUGCGAUAAGCGCCGGUAAGGUGAUAUGAACCGUUAUAACCGGCGAUACCCGAAUGGGGAAACCCAGUGUGAUUCGUCACACUAUCAUUAACUGAAUCCAUAGGUUAAUGAGGCGAACCGGGGGAACUGAAACAUCUAAGUACCCCGAGGAAAAGAAAUCAACCGAGAUUCCCCCAGUAGCGGCGAGCGAACGGGGAGGAGCCCAGAGCCUGAAUCAGCAUGUGUGUUAGUGGAAGCGUCUGGAAAGGCGCGCGAUACAGGGUGACAGCCCCGUACACAAAAGCGCAUGUGCUGUGAGCUCGAUGAGUAGGGCGGGACACGUGGUAUCCUGUCUGAAUAUGGGGGGACCAUCCUCCAAGGCUAAAUACUCCUGACUGACCGAUAGUGAACCAGUACCGUGAGGGAAAGGCGAAAAGAACCCCGGCGAGGGGAGUGAAAAAGAACCUGAAACCGUGUACGUACAAGCAGUGGGAGCACAGGUUUACCUGUGUGACUGCGUACCUUUUGUAUAAUGGGUCAGCGACUUAUAUUCUGUAGCAAGGUUAACCGAAUAGGGGAGCCGGAGGGAAACCGAGUCUUAACCGGGCGUUAAGUUGCAGGGUAUAGACCCGAAACCCGUGAUCUAGCCAUGGGCAGGUUGAAGGUUGGGUAACACUAACUGGAGGACCGAACCGACUAAUGUUGAAAAAUUAGCGGAUGACCUGUGGCUGGGGGUGAAAGGCCAAUCAAACCGGGAGAUAGCUGGUUCUCCCCGAAAGCUAUUUAGGUAGCGCCUCGUGAAUUCAUCUCCGGGGGUAGAGCACUGUUUCGGCUAGGGGGCCAUCCCGGCUUACCAACCCGAUGCAAACUGCGAAUACCGGAGAAUGUUAUCACGGGAGACACACGGCGGGUGCUAACGUCCGUCGUGAAGAGGGAAACAACCCAGACCGCCAGCUAAGGUCCCAAAGUCAUGGUUAAGUGGGAAACGAUGUGGGAAGGCCCAGACAGCCAGGAUGUUGGCUUAGAAGCAGCCAUCAUUUAAAGAAAGCGUAAUAGCUCACUGGUCGAGUCGGCCUGCGCGGAAGAUGUAACGGGGCUAAACCAUGCACCGAAGCUGCGGCAGCGAACGUAUCACUUAAAGCGAUUCAGCGGGUUACGAUUGACGGAGCGAAGCGACGUCAAAGCGUAUACAAAGUCGAGUCGGUUUAAGGAUACGUUCGUUGGGUAGGGGAGCGUUCUGUAAGCCUGCGAAGGUGGCCUGUGAGGGUUGCUGGAGGUAUCAGAAGUGCGAAUGCUGACAUAAGUAACGAUAAAGCGGGUGAAAAGCCCGCUCGCCGGAAGACCAAGGGUUCCUGUCCAACGUUAAUCGGGGCAGGGUGAGUCGACCCCUAAGGCGAGGCCGAAAGGCGUAGUCGAUGGGAAACGGGUUAAUAUUCCCGUACUUGGUGUUACUGCGAAGGGGGGACGGAGAAGGCUAUGUUGGCCGGGCGACGGUUGUCCCGGUUUAAGCGUGUAGGUGUGUGUUCCAGGUAAAUCCGGUUCACUUUAACACUGAGGCGUGAUGACGAGGCACUACGGUGCUGAAGUAACAAAUGCCCUGCUUCCAGGAAAAGCCUCUAAGCAUCAGGUAACAUCAAAUCGUACCCCAAACCGACACAGGUGGUCAGGUAGAGAAUACCAAGGCGCUUGAGAGAACUCGGGUGAAGGAACUAGGCAAAAUGGUGCCGUAACUUCGGGAGAAGGCACGCUGACACGUAGGUGAAGUGAUUUACUCACGGAGCUGAAGUCAGUCGAAGAUACCAGCUGGCUGCAACUGUUUAUUAAAAACACAGCACUGUGCAAACACGAAAGUGGACGUAUACGGUGUGACGCCUGCCCGGUGCCGGAAGGUUAAUUGAUGGGGUCAGCGCAAGCGAAGCUCCUGAUCGAAGCCCCGGUAAACGGCGGCCGUAACUAUAACGGUCCUAAGGUAGCGAAAUUCCUUGUCGGGUAAGUUCCGACCUGCACGAAUGGCGUAAUGAUGGCCAGGCUGUCUCCACCCGAGACUCAGUGAAAUUGAACUCGCUGUGAAGAUGCAGUGUACCCGCGGCAAGACGGAAAGACCCCGUGAACCUUUACUAUAGCUUGACACUGAACAUUGAGCCUUGAUGUGUAGGAUAGGUGGGAGGCUUUGAAGUGUGGACGCCAGUCUGCAUGGAGCCGACCUUGAAAUACCACCCUUUAAUGUUUGAUGUUCUAACGUGGACCCGUUACCCGGGUUGCGGACAGUGUCUGGUGGGUAGUUUGACUGGGGCGGUCUCCUCCUAAAGAGUAACGGAGGAGCACGAAGGUUGGCUAAUCCUGGUCGGACAUCAGGAGGUUAGUGCAAUGGCAUAAGCCAGCUUGACUGCGAGCGUGACGGCGCGAGCAGGUGCGAAAGCAGGUCAUAGUGAUCCGGUGGUUCUGAAUGGAAGGGCCAUCGCUCAACGGAUAAAAGGUACUCCGGGGAUAACAGGCUGAUACCGCCCAAGAGUUCAUAUCGACGGCGGUGUUUGGCACCUCGAUGUCGGCUCAUCACAUCCUGGGGCUGAAGCAGGUCCCAAGGGUAUGGCUGUUCGCCAUUUAAAGUGGUACGCGAGCUGGGUUUAGAACGUCGUGAGACAGUUCGGUCCCUAUCUGCCGUGGGCGCUGGAGAACUGAGGGGGGCUGCUCCUAGUACGAGAGGACCGGAGUGGACGCAUCACUGGUGUUCGGGUUGUCAUGCCAAUGGCACUGCCCGGUAGCUAAAUGCGGAAGAGAUAAGUGCUGAAAGCAUCUAAGCACGAAACUUGCCCCGAGAUGAGUUCUCCCUGAGACUUAGAGUCUCCUGAAGGAACGUUGAAGACGACGACGUUGAUAGGCCGGGUGUGUAAGCGCAGCGAUGCGUUGAGCUAACCGGUACUAAUGAACCGUGAGGCUUAACCUU
Molecule: ribosomal RNA, 2988 nt
Filed under: Salmonella sp. CVCC 1806
Lineage: Bacteria; Pseudomonadati; Pseudomonadota; Gammaproteobacteria; Enterobacterales; Enterobacteriaceae
Description: 23S ribosomal RNA
Rfam family: Bacterial large subunit ribosomal RNA
Source: RNAcentral